Non-coding RNA from Pelobates cultripes (western spadefoot toad), 90 nucleotides. Lineage: Eukaryota; Metazoa; Chordata; Amphibia; Anura; Pelobatidae. The record is from the annotation of a GenBank genome assembly.
AGUGUGUGUAGUGUGUGUAUAUAAUGCAGUGUGUUUUGUGUAGUGUGUUUCUAUAAUGCACACUGCAUUAUAUACACACACUACAUUCAC